Molecule: unclassified non-coding RNA, 306 nt
Filed under: plant metagenome
Description: partial contains 5.8S ribosomal RNA, internal transcribed spacer 2, and large subunit ribosomal RNA
Rfam family: 5.8S ribosomal RNA (bases 1-105)
Source: RNAcentral
GAAAUGCGAUAAGUAAUGUGAAUUGCAGAAUUCAGUGAAUCAUCGAAUCUUUGAACGCACAUUGCGCCCGCCAGUAUUCUGGCGGGCAUGCCUGUCCGAGCGUCAUUUCAACCAUCAAGCCCCCGGGCUUGUGUUGGGGACCUGCGGCUGCCCGCAGGCCCUGAAAACCAGUGGUGGGCUCGCUGUCACACCGAGCGUAGUAGCAAUCACCUCGCUCAGGGCGUGCUGCGGGUUCCGGCCGUUAAACAGCCUUACAAAACCCAAGGUUGACCUCGGAUCAGGUAGGAAGACCCGCUGAACUUAAGC